AGAAACAAGGAGUCCGUCACCCUGCGCUGUCCUCACCCUGUGGAGGGUAAGGUGACGUGGAGCAGAGAGAACAGAGGAAGGAUAGUUGACAUACUCACCGCUGACGGUAACAGCGUGAGAAGACUCAUCAAUGACACACGAUUCAUGUCAUCAGCUGAUAAGUGGCUGAUCAUCCUGAGGCCUGCUGCGUCAGACUCUGGGAGAUACCUGUGUAAUAACAAACCAGCGGUGCAGCUGACGGUGAUCUCUCCAGGACAAUCAGCUUCUACACCCUUUCCAGCAAACGCAACAUCAGCACCACCCACAAACUCAGACCAGCAGCUGCUUCUUGGGUUGAUUUAUGGAACAGCCGCUUCAUUCAUCUGCAUCAUCA
Haplochromis burtoni (Burton's mouthbrooder) is the source of this 373-nucleotide long non-coding RNA. RefSeq lists it as uncharacterized. The transcript is spliced from 3 exons. Lineage: Eukaryota; Metazoa; Chordata; Actinopteri; Cichliformes; Cichlidae. The record is from RefSeq and is a predicted model, not a curated record.